ACAUCUCUUCGGAGCAUUUUACGAGGUGCUGCAUGGUUGGUCGUCAGCUCGUGCCGUGAGGUGUCGGGUUAAGUCCCAUAACGAGCGCAACCCUACCUUUAGUUGCCAUCAGGUUAAGCUGGGGACUCUAAAGGAACUGCCUACGCAAGUAGUGAGGAAGGCGGGGAUGACGUCAAAUCAGCACGGCCCUUACGUCCAGGGCUACACACGUGCUACAAUGGCCGAUACAGAGGGCAGCUACCUGGUGACAGGAUGCAAAUCUCCAAAGUCGGUCUCAGUUCGGAUCGGAGUCUGCAACCCGACUCCGUGAAGUUGGAUUCGCUAGUAAUCGCGCAUCAGCCAUGGCGCGGUGAAUACGUUCCCGGGCCUU
RNAcentral lists this ribosomal RNA (370 nucleotides) under uncultured Sphingobacteriales bacterium. RNAcentral's name for it is "bacterial SSU rRNA". It matches the Rfam family "Bacterial small subunit ribosomal RNA", at positions 1011 to 1382 of the family's 1533-position model. Lineage: Bacteria; Pseudomonadati; Bacteroidota; Sphingobacteriia; Sphingobacteriales. The record is from RNAcentral.